GCCGAUGUAGCUCAGUUGGUAGAGCGGCGCAUUCGUAAUGCGCAGGUCGCCAGUUCGAUCCUGGCCGUCGGCU
Molecule: transfer RNA, 73 nt
Filed under: Candidatus Margulisiibacteriota bacterium
Lineage: Bacteria; Bacillati; Candidatus Margulisiibacteriota
Description: tRNA-Thr
Rfam family: tRNA
About the family: Transfer RNA (tRNA) molecules are approximately 80 nucleotides in length. Their secondary structure includes four short double-helical elements and three loops (D, anti-codon, and T loops).
Source: RNAcentral